This 510-nucleotide ribosomal RNA is filed under the name Staphylococcus aureus. RNAcentral describes it as "partial 23S ribosomal RNA". It matches the Rfam family "Bacterial large subunit ribosomal RNA", at positions 2413 to 2925 of the family's 2925-position model. Lineage: Bacteria; Bacillati; Bacillota; Bacilli; Caryophanales; Staphylococcaceae. The record is from RNAcentral.
UAGUGAUCCGGUGGUUCCGCAUGGAAGGGCCAUCGCUCAACGGAUAAAAGCUACCCCGGGGAUAACAGGCUUAUCUCCCCCAAGAGUUCACAUCGACGGGGAGGUUUGGCACCUCGAUGUCGGCUCAUCGCAUCCUGGGGCUGUAGUCGGUCCCAAGGGUUGGGCUGUUCGCCCAUUAAAGCGGUACGCGAGCUGGGUUCAGAACGUCGUGAGACAGUUCGGUCCCUAUCCGUCGUGGGCGUAGGAAAUUUGAGAGGAGCUGUCCUUAGUACGAGAGGACCGGGAUGGACAUACCUCUGGUGUACCAGUUGUCGUGCCAACGGCAUAGCUGGGUAGCUAUGUGUGGACGGGAUAAGUGCUGAAAGCAUCUAAGCAUGAAGCCCCCCUCAAGAUGAGAUUUCCCAACUUCGGUUAUAAGAUCCCUCAAAGAUGAUGAGGUUAAUAGGUUCGAGGUGGAAGCAUGGUGACAUGUGGAGCUGACGAAUACUAAUCGAUCGAAGACUUAAUCAA